Molecule: unclassified non-coding RNA, 351 nt
Filed under: soil metagenome
Description: partial contains 5.8S ribosomal RNA, internal transcribed spacer 2, and large subunit ribosomal RNA
Rfam family: 5.8S ribosomal RNA (bases 1-120)
Source: RNAcentral
GAUGAAGAACGCAGCGAAAUGCGAUACGUAGUGUGAAUUGCAGAAUUCAGUGAAUCAUCGAAUCUUUGAACGCACAUUGCGCCCUUUGGUAUUCCAAAGGGCAUGCCUGUUCGAGCGUCAUUUGUACCUUCAAGCUUUGCUUGGUGUUGGGCGUUUUUUGUCUCCCUCUUUCUGGGAGACUCACCUUAAAACGAUUGGCAGCCGGCCUACUGGUUUCGGAGCGCAGCACAUAUUUUGCGCUUUGUAUCAGGAGAAAAGGACGGUAAUCCAUCAAGACUCUACAUUUUUAACUUUUGACCUCGGAUCAGGUAGGGAUACCCGCUGAACUUAAGCAUAUCAAUAAGCGGAUGA